CCUACGGGAGGCAGCAGUGGGGAAUAUUGGACAAUGGGCGCAAGCCUGAUCCAGCCAUGCCGCGUGUGUGAAGAAGGCCUUUUGGUUGUAAAGCACUUUAAGCGAGGAGGAGGCUACCGAGAUUAAUACUCUUGGAUAGUGGACGUUACUCGCAGAAUAAGCACCGGCUAACUCUGUGCCAGCAGCCGCAGUAAUA
RNAcentral lists this ribosomal RNA (196 nucleotides) under uncultured bacterium. Its description in RNAcentral is "partial 16S ribosomal RNA". It matches the Rfam family "Bacterial small subunit ribosomal RNA", at positions 338 to 525 of the family's 1533-position model. The record is from RNAcentral.